GUGCCAGCCGCCGCGGUAAUACGGAGGGUGCGAGCGUUGUUCGGAAUUAUUGGGCGUAAAGCGCACGUAGGCGGUUCGGUAAGUCUCACUGUGAAAGCCCGGGGCUCAACCCCGGGAGGCCAGGGGAUACUGUCGGACUGGAGACAGGCAGAGGCUGGUAGAAUUUCGGGUGUAGCGGUGGAAUGCGUAGAGAUCCGAAGGAAUACCGGAGGCGAAGGCGGCCAGCUGGGCCUGAUCUGACGCUGAGGUGCGAAAGCGUGGGGAGCGAACAGGAUUAGAAACCCGUGUAGUCC
This 293-nucleotide ribosomal RNA is filed under the name uncultured bacterium. RNAcentral describes it as "partial 16S ribosomal RNA". It matches the Rfam family "Bacterial small subunit ribosomal RNA", at positions 505 to 796 of the family's 1533-position model. The record is from RNAcentral.